GAUGAACGCUAGCGGCAGGCCUAACACAUGCAAGUCGAGGGGGAAGUUACUUUCGGGUAACAGAGACCGGCGUACGGGUGCGUAACGCGUAUACAAUCUGCCUUUCACUGGGGGAUAGCCCGAAGAAAUUUGGAUUAAUACCCCAUAGUAUAGUAGUGUGGCAUCACACAACUAUUAAAGCCUUGGUGGUGAAAGAUGAGUAUGCGUUCUAUUAGCUAGUUGGAGAGGUAACGGCUCCCCAAGGCGAUGAUAGAUAGGGGUUCUGAGAGGGAUGUCCCCCACACUGGUACUCGAGAUACGGACCCAGACUCCUACGGGGAGGCAGCAGUGAGGGAAUAUUGGACAAUGGUCGGAAGACUGAUCCAGCCAUGCCGCGUGCAGGAUGAAGGUCUUAUGGAUUGUAAACUGCUUUUGUAAGGGAAGAAUAAGGACUACGUGUAGUUUGAUGACGGUACCUUACGAAUAAGCAUCGGCUAACUCCGUGCCAGCAGCCGCGGUAAUACGGAGGAUGCGAGCGUUAUCCGGAAUCAUUGGGUUUAAAGGGUCUGUAGGCGGGCUGGUAAGUCAGAGGUGAAAGCGCUUAGCUCAACUAAGCAACUGCCUUUGAAACUGUAGGUCUUGAAUGGUUGUGAAGUAGUUGGAAUGUGUAGUGUAGCGGUGAAAUGCUUAGAUAUUACACAGAACACCGAUAGCGAAGUGCAUAUUACUAACAAUUAAUUGACGCUGAUGGACGAAAGCGUGGGGAGCGAGCAGGAUUAGAUACCCUGGCAGUCCACGCUGUAAACGAUGGAUACUAGCUGUAUGGAGUAAUCUGAGUGGCUAAGCGAAAGUGAUACGUAUCCCACCUGGGGAGUACGUUCGCAAGAAUGAGACUCUAAGGAAUCGACGGGGGGCCCGCACAAGCGGUGGAGCAUGUGGUUUAAUUCGAUGAUACGCGAGGAACCUUACCAAGGUUUAAAUGGAGACUG
RNAcentral lists this ribosomal RNA (968 nucleotides) under Capnocytophaga sp. oral taxon 412. Its description in RNAcentral is "bacterial SSU rRNA". It matches the Rfam family "Bacterial small subunit ribosomal RNA", at positions 28 to 994 of the family's 1533-position model. Lineage: Bacteria; Pseudomonadati; Bacteroidota; Flavobacteriia; Flavobacteriales; Flavobacteriaceae. The record is from RNAcentral.